RNAcentral lists this ribosomal RNA (333 nucleotides) under uncultured eukaryote. RNAcentral's name for it is "partial 18S ribosomal RNA". It matches the Rfam family "Eukaryotic small subunit ribosomal RNA", at positions 1470 to 1796 of the family's 1831-position model. The record is from RNAcentral.
CCCUUAGAUGUUCUGGGCCGCACGCGCGUUACACUGAUGCAUUCAACGAGCUUAUAACCUUGGCCGAGAGGCCUGGGCAAUCUUGUUAACGUGCAUCGUGAUAGGGAUAGAUUAUUGAAAUUAUUAAUCUUGAACGAGGAAUUCCUAGUAAACGCAGAUCAUCAAUCUGCAUUGAUUACGUCCCUGCCCUUUGUACACACCGCCCGUCGCUACUAUCGAUUGAGCGGUUCAGUGAGGGCCUCGGAUUGGUCUCGGUCUGGCGUGCAAGCGCCGGCACCGUUGGCCGAGAAGACGCUCGAACUCGAUCGCUUGGAGAAAGUAAAAGUCGUAACA